Molecule: long non-coding RNA, 939 nt
Filed under: Gouania willdenowi (blunt-snouted clingfish)
Lineage: Eukaryota; Metazoa; Chordata; Actinopteri; Blenniiformes; Gobiesocidae
Description: lncRNA (ENSGWIG00000023823.1)
Source: RNAcentral
GAAGACCAAAGGGCCGCUACAGCGCUAGUUGGAAAUUGCCCCAAUGUGGAUGUGUUGACAUUGACAAAAAAUGCAUUUUUGUUCUGACCGAUGAAUGUUCCAGUAAUCCUUUUAUAAUUGGCAUGAAUGUAAUUAAGCCAUGUUGGGAUACAGUUUUCCAUAACCCUAAGAAGCCUCUCUCUUUUGCUUGCCAAAGUUCAGGGUCCCAACAGGCGUGGGGAGAAGCCUUCGCCCUUUACCGGAGAACUGCUGUCUGUACGGAGGAUGGGUUUAGAGGAUAUGUCUGGCCAGCUCAGAGACGAGGAGUCAGGAUCCCCGCUCGAAGUGAGAUUGUUGCCUGUGGACAGGCUCGAGCUGGACCGUCGGGAAGGGACUAUUGUGGCCUGAUUGAAGCCCUUGAUGAGCUGAACACUGUCUCUGUGGACCGCGCACUUGCCGUCGUCAAGAAUGGGCCGGGUCUACGCGGUGACGGAGGGAGUGUGAGCAACACCAGGGCCGGAACCAGGUCGGGGGUGUGGAGCACGGAGACGCGGUGGAUGGUGUGAUACUCAAGGCCUGUUUACUGUAUACUGGGCGGUCAGGAUUUGAGUGCCACCCAGACGCAGUGAGUCUCACACCUGGGGAGGGCACGCAAAACCAGAGCCACUUCUCUCCCACCGGCAGAUGUGCUGUGUCCACUAGGGCCGGGUCUACGAGGCAAGGAGGGAGCAGCGGAGCCAGGACUGGGGGCUUGGAGCACGGAGCAGCGCGGUGGCGGCAGUGGUUGAGCAGCAGCGUCUCCCUGGCCGAUUGGUGGACACUGGAGAGCCUCUUCCUCCCUCCUGCCCAGGCUCAGUUCUCACUCUUUUCUUCUUAGAAUUAAGUUUAUUUUAAGACAACUCAUGUUGUUUUUUAAACAUUUGUUAUAAUAAAUCAAUCAAACUAUUAAUCUCGGUUUCA